This 445-nucleotide ribosomal RNA is filed under the name uncultured bacterium. RNAcentral's name for it is "bacterial SSU rRNA". It matches the Rfam family "Bacterial small subunit ribosomal RNA", at positions 331 to 792 of the family's 1533-position model. The record is from RNAcentral.
CCAGACUCCUACGGGAGGCAGCAGUGGGGGAUAUUGCACAAUGGGGGGAACCCUGAUGCAGCGACGCCGCGUGGGUGAAGGAGUGCUUCGGCAUGUAAAGCCCUAUCGGCAGGGAAGAAGCAAGACGGUACCUGACUAAGAAGCCCCGGCUAACUACGUGCCAGCAGCCGCGGGAAUACGUAGGGGGCAAGCGUUAUCCGGAUUUACUGGGUGUAAAGGGAGCGUAGGCGGCGACGCAAGUCAGAAGUGAAAGCCCGGGGCUCAACUCCGGGACUGCUUUUGAAACUGCGUUGCUAGAUUGCGGGAGAGGCAAGUGGAAUUCCUAGUGUAGCGGUGAAAUGCGUAGAUAUUAGGAGGAACACCGGCGGCGAAGGCGGCCUGCUGGACCGCGACUGACGUUGAGGCUCGAAAGCGUGGGGAGCGAACAGGAUUAGAUACCCUAGUA